RNAcentral lists this RNase P RNA (408 nucleotides) under Cyclobacterium plantarum. RNAcentral describes it as "RNase P RNA component class A". It matches the Rfam family "Bacterial RNase P class A". Rfam says of the family: Ribonuclease P (RNase P) is a ubiquitous endoribonuclease, found in archaea, bacteria and eukarya as well as chloroplasts and mitochondria. Its best characterised activity is the generation of mature 5'-ends of tRNAs by cleaving the 5'-leader elements of precursor-tRNAs. Lineage: Bacteria; Pseudomonadati; Bacteroidota; Cytophagia; Cytophagales; Cyclobacteriaceae. The record is from RNAcentral.
GGUGCAGGCUGGUUUGUCGCUAUUCCUUACUCUACUAAGGAAGAGAGGAAAGUCCGGGCAACAUAGAGCGCCAUACUUCCUAACGGGAAGGGGUCCUGGGGGAGACGCCAGGGCUACAGAUAGUGCCACAGAAAAAAUACCGUCCCGAUACUGGCAAAUGCCCGUAUGGGGAUAAGGGUGAAAUGGUGGGGUAAGAGCCCACCGCAUGUCAGGUGACUGGCAUGGCAAGGCAAACCUUAUGGGUUGAAAGACCAAAUAGGCUUCGGUCCAAGGGCUGCUCGUCCAAUCCCGGUAUCCGGGAAACCGAAGUGGGUAGGUCGUUAGAUCUUUCCUGUGAAGGAAAGAGCAGAUAAAUGGCAAACGCUUCGAGAGAAGACACAGAACCCGGCUUACAGGCCUGCACAUUUU